AGAGUUUGAUCAUGGCUCAGGAUGAACGCUAGCUACAGGCUUAACACAUGCAAGUCGAGGGGAAACGACAUCGAAAGCUUGCUUUUGAUGGUCGUCGACCGGCGCACGGGUGAGUAACGCGUAUCCAACCUGCCCAUCACUUGGGGAUAACACUGAGAAAUUGGUACUAAUACCCCAUAAUAUCAUAGAAGGCAUCUUUUAUGGUUGAAAAUUCCGAUGGUUAGAGAUGGGCAUGCGUUGUAUUAGCUAGUUGGUGGGGUAACGGCUCACCAAGGCGACGAUACAUAGGGGGACUGAGAGGUUAACCCCCCACACUGGUACUGAGACACGGACCAGACUCCUACGGGAGGCAGCA
This 355-nucleotide ribosomal RNA is filed under the name uncultured bacterium. Its description in RNAcentral is "bacterial SSU rRNA". It matches the Rfam family "Bacterial small subunit ribosomal RNA", at positions 8 to 353 of the family's 1533-position model. The record is from RNAcentral.